RNAcentral lists this ribosomal RNA (501 nucleotides) under Klebsiella pneumoniae. Its description in RNAcentral is "partial 23S ribosomal RNA". It matches the Rfam family "Bacterial large subunit ribosomal RNA", at positions 359 to 867 of the family's 2925-position model. Lineage: Bacteria; Pseudomonadati; Pseudomonadota; Gammaproteobacteria; Enterobacterales; Enterobacteriaceae. The record is from RNAcentral.
ACAGGGUGAUAGUCCCGUACACCAAAAUGCACAGGCUGUGAACUCGAAGAGUAGGGCGGGACACGUGGUAUCCUGUCUGAAUAUGGGGGGACCAUCCUCCAAGGCUAAAUACUCCUGACUGACCGAUAGUGAACCAGUACCGUGAGGGAAAGGCGAAAAGAACCCCGGCGAGGGGAGUGAAAAAGAACCUGAAACCGUGUACGUACAAGCAGUGGGAGCACCUUCGGGUGUGACUGCGUACCUUUUGUAUAAUGGGUCAGCGACUUAUAUUCUGUAGCAAGGUUAACCGUAUAGGGGAGCCGCAGGGAAACCGAGUCUUAACUGGGCGUUAAGUUGCAGGGUAUAGACCCGAAACCCGGUGAUCUAGCCAUGGGCAGGUUGAAGGUUGGGUAACACUAACUGGAGGACCGAACCGACUAAUGUUGAAAAAUUAGCGGAUGACUUGUGGCUGGGGGUGAAAGGCCAAUCAAACCGGGAGAUAGCUGGUUCUCCCCGAAAGCU